GACGUAGGGCGCGAGCGUUGUCCGGAUUUAUUGGGCGUAAAGAGCUCGUAGGCGGCUUGUCGCGUCGACUGUGAAAACCCGCGGCUCAACUGCGGGCCUGCAGUCGAUACGGGCAGGCUAGAGUUCGGUAGGGGAGACUGGAAUUCCUGGUGUAGCGGUGAAAUGCGCAGAUAUCAGGAGGAACACCGGUGGCGAAGGCGUGUCUCUGGGCCGAUACUGACGCUGAGGAGCGAAAGCGUGGGGAGCGAACAGG
RNAcentral lists this ribosomal RNA (253 nucleotides) under uncultured bacterium. Its description in RNAcentral is "partial 16S ribosomal RNA". It matches the Rfam family "Bacterial small subunit ribosomal RNA", at positions 524 to 776 of the family's 1533-position model. The record is from RNAcentral.